GACGAACGCUGGCGGCGUGCCUAAUACAUGCAAGUAGAACGCACAGUUUAUACCGUAGCUUGCUACACCAUAAACUGUGAGUUGCGAACGGGUGAGUAACGCGUAGGUAACCUGCCUGGUAGCGGGGGAUAACUAUUGGAAACGAUAGCUAAUACCGCAUAAUAUUGAUUAUUGCAUGAUAAUUGAUUGAAAGAUGCUAUUGCAUCACUACCAGAUGGACCUGCGUUGUAUUAGCUAGUAGGUGAGGUAACGGCUCACCUAGGCGACGAUACAUAGCCGACCUGAGAGGGUGGUCGGCCACACUGGGACUGAGACACGGCCCAGACUCCUCCGGGAGGCAGCAGUAGGGAAUCUUCGGCAAUGGACGAAAGUCUGACCGAGCAACGCCGCGUGAGUGAAGAAGGUUUUCGGAUCGUAAAGCUCUGUUGUAAGAGAAGAACGGGUGUGAGAGUGGAAAGUUCACACUGUGACGGUAUCUUACCAGAAAGGGACGGCUAACUACGUG
This 505-nucleotide ribosomal RNA is filed under the name uncultured bacterium. Its description in RNAcentral is "partial 16S ribosomal RNA". It matches the Rfam family "Bacterial small subunit ribosomal RNA", at positions 28 to 507 of the family's 1533-position model. The record is from RNAcentral.